Molecule: long non-coding RNA, 607 nt
Filed under: Ananas comosus (pineapple)
Lineage: Eukaryota; Viridiplantae; Streptophyta; Magnoliopsida; Poales; Bromeliaceae
Description: long non-coding RNA (ACOM_LNC028257)
Source: RNAcentral
UCUUUCUUUUUCCCCCUUCCUCUUCCUUUCUUUCUUCCUCUUCCCUCUUCUUCGUCGCCAGCGAACCCCACCCCGACCUCGCCAAAGCGCCGCUGACGCCGACCUCCGCUGCCUCCUCUCCGUCGUAUCAUCCCCCAUCGCGCGAUGCUUCCACGCUCGGUGUUGCGCCGUCGCCGUAGCCGCCUCCCGCCUCUCCUCCGCCGUCGACGACCUCUCCAAUCUCACCGUGAACCCCCUUGCCUCCGAGCUCCUCCGGCCUCCGUCGCCUCCUCCUUCUUCUUCUUCUUCUUUGUAUCCUCAUCUUCUCCUCCUUCUUCUUUUUUGUCAUCGUCGUUGAUGAUCCGCCGCCUACUACUCCCGCAACCCGAAGAGGAAGAGAAAGAGAAAGAAGGAGUACUUUUGGAGGGACAUAUUUGUGAGGGCAAAAAUGUCAUUUCACGAAUAUACUGUUAAAAAAUUAACAGUUCUCUAAUGAAUCCUAACCAGAGGGACAUAUCUAAAUACAUUAGGACUUUUGCAAGGACAAAUUAUGAAAGUUGAGCUUUGUAGGGAUAUAUCUGCAAUUCACAAUGUUUGCAGGGACAUGUAUGCAAUUAACCCAAUAUUU